This 392-nucleotide ribosomal RNA is filed under the name uncultured Pedobacter sp. Its description in RNAcentral is "bacterial SSU rRNA". It matches the Rfam family "Bacterial small subunit ribosomal RNA", at positions 1 to 396 of the family's 1533-position model. The record is from RNAcentral. Lineage: Bacteria; Pseudomonadati; Bacteroidota; Sphingobacteriia; Sphingobacteriales; Sphingobacteriaceae.
UCGAGAGUUUGAUCCUGGCUCAGGAUGAACGCUAGCGGCAGGCCUAAUACAUGCAAGUCGAGGGGUAGAGGUUGCUUGCAACCUUGAGACCGGCGCACGGGUGCGUAACGCGUAUGCAACCUACCUUCAUCUGGGGAUAGCCCGGAGAAAUCCGGAUUAAUACCGCAUAAAAUCACAGUACGGCAUCGUACAAUGAUCAAACAUUUAUGGGAUGGAGAUGGGCAUGCGUGUCAUUAGUUAGUUGGCGGGGUAACGGCCACCAAGACCGCGAUGACUAGGGGAUCUGAGAGGAUCGACCCCCCGACACUGGGUACUGAGACACGGACCAGACUCCGUACGGGAGCAGCAGUAAGGAUAUUGGUCAAUGGGGGCAACCCUGAACCCAGCCCAUG